This 27-nucleotide non-coding RNA is filed under the name Homo sapiens (human). Lineage: Eukaryota; Metazoa; Chordata; Mammalia; Primates; Hominidae. The record is from RNAcentral.
UGCUGACUGGUCUUAGCUACUUCCUGC